This 1272-nucleotide long non-coding RNA is filed under the name Oncorhynchus kisutch (coho salmon). RNAcentral's name for it is "lncRNA (ENSOKIG00005035095.1)". The record is from RNAcentral. Lineage: Eukaryota; Metazoa; Chordata; Actinopteri; Salmoniformes; Salmonidae.
AUGAAUCCUUGUUCUUCUUCCUCCCCCUCUUUCUUCUCCUCUGUCAGGAAGCCGUACAAAGUCUCGUUUCCUCCUUCAGACAACACUGAUAGCGACACCCUCCUCCCUGGAGAGAUGGAGGGGAGGAGAGGUGAAAGGAGGAGGGGAGGAGAGGUGAGAAGAGGAGGAGGAGGGAAGGAAAGGAGAGAGGUGAGAAGAGGAGGAGGAGGGGAGGCAAGGAGAAAGGAGAGAAGAGGAGGAGGAGGGGAGGCAAGGAGAGAGGAGAGAAGAGGAGGAGGAGGGGAGGCAAGGAGAGAAGAGAGAAGAGAGGGGGAAAGGAGGAGGGGAGACGAGGAGAGAAGAGAAGAGGAGGAGGAGGGAGGCAAGAAGAGAAGAGAGAAGAGAGGGGAAAGGAGGAGGGGAGGCAAGAAGAGAGAAGAGAGGGGGAAAGGAGGAGGGGAGGCAAGGAGAGAGGAGGGAAGAGGAGGAGGAGGGGAGGCAAGGAGAGAGGAGAGAAGAGGAGGAGGAGGGGAGGCAAGGAGAGAGGAGAGAAGAGGAGGAGGGGGGGAGGCAAGGAGAGAGGAGAGAAGAGGAGGAGGAGGGGAGGCAAGGAGAGAAGAGAGAAGAGGAGGAGGAGGGGAGGCAAGGAGAGAAGAGAGAAGAGAGGGGGAAAGGAGGAGGGGAGGCAAGGAGAGAGGGGAGGGAAGAGGAGGAGGAGGGGAGGCAAGGAGAGAGGAGGGAAGAGGAGGAGGAGGGGAGGCAAGGAGAGAGGAGGGAAGAGGAGGAGGAGGGAGGCAAGGAGAGAGGAGGGAAGAGGAGAGGAGGGGAGGCAAGGAGAGAGGAGGGAAGAGGAGGAGGAGGGAGGGCAAGGAGAGAGGAGGGAAGAGGAGGAGGAGGGGAGGCAAGGAGAGAGGAGAGAAGAGAGGGGGGAAAGGAGGAGGGAGACGAGGAGAGAGGAGGAGGAGGGAAGGCAAGGAGAGAGGAGAGAAGAGGAGGAGGGGAGGCAAGGAGAGAGGAGAGAAGAGGAGGAGGGGAGGCAAGGAGAGAGGAGAGAAGAGGAGGAGGAGGGGAGGCAAGGAGAGAAGAGGAGGAGGAGGAGGGGAGACAAGGAGAGAGGAGAGAAGAGGAGGAGGGGAGGCAAGGAGAGAGGAGAGAAGAGGAGGAGGAGGGGAGGCAAGGAGAGAAGAGGAGGAGGGGUGGCAAGGAGAGAAGAGGAGAGAGGAGGAGGGAUGCAAGGAGAGAGGAGAGAAGGGGAGGAGGGGAUGCAAGGAGAGGGGAGGAGAGGAAAGGUGA